This 253-nucleotide ribosomal RNA is filed under the name uncultured bacterium. Its description in RNAcentral is "partial 16S ribosomal RNA". It matches the Rfam family "Bacterial small subunit ribosomal RNA", at positions 524 to 776 of the family's 1533-position model. The record is from RNAcentral.
UACAGAGGGUGCGAGCGUUAAUCGGAAUUACUGGGCGUAAAGCGCACGUAGUCGGCUUUGCAAGUCGGGUGUGAAAUCUCGGGGCUUAACUCCGAAACUGCAUUCGAUACUGCCGUGCUUGAGGACUGGAGAGGAGACUGGAAUUUACGGUGUAGCGGUGAAAUGCGUAGAUAUCGUAAGGAAGACCAGUGGCGAAGGCGGGUCUCUGGACAGUUCCUGACGCUGAGGCACGAAGGCCAGGGGAGCAAACGGG